UUCCCGCAGCCAUGAUCAUACGCACUUAAAUAGGACAUGGAGGACACUUUUCCGUGGCUCAUUUUCAUGUCAGCCAGAUCUCCAUCCAGGACAUCCUGAGGCCCUCCUCAGACCUUCCCUGUUGUUUCCGCCCACCACUGGGUGAAGUGGGUCCAUAGCAGGUGGGAUGCUGGGAGGGAGCUGAAAAGAGACUUCCUGAUUAAGAACGAGGGGCACAAACAUGGACAGAUGUUUUCCAAACCCUAUCUGGCCCAAACCUUCCAGCUACCAUCAACCCCUCCCAUCUACCAUUCAGAACAGAGGCGUGAUGAGUCUGGAGGAUCUGUGACCAUGACAACGAGGAGUUCAAACAAAUCCACACGGACUACAAGGUAUGUUCAAGGACACACAACACAACCAACGAAGGAGGAGUUUGAUGUGAU
Long non-coding RNA from Oncorhynchus tshawytscha (Chinook salmon), 422 nucleotides. Lineage: Eukaryota; Metazoa; Chordata; Actinopteri; Salmoniformes; Salmonidae. The record is from Ensembl.